This is a long non-coding RNA of Drosophila pseudoobscura, 1057 nucleotides long. RefSeq lists it as uncharacterized. The transcript has 2 exons. Lineage: Eukaryota; Metazoa; Arthropoda; Insecta; Diptera; Drosophilidae. The record is from RefSeq and is a predicted model, not a curated record.
UCGCGGGAUCUUGGCAUUCGUCAAUGUCUGCAAGUAGAGGAAGAUACGACGGAGGACCGUGAUUAAUCGAAGAUGCUACACAACAAAUGACAAGCGGCACCAUCCAAGAGACGUGUUCUGGCUCUGGCUCUAGCUCUGGCUUUGACUGCCGGUCUCUCUACGCAUUUUGCCGCUUGAAUGCGCGCUCUGCUCGCAUUCACAGUCGCGGGGAAUCGGACAUGGAGUAGCAGCCAUGUGGCAAUGGAUGCCAUCGAGAUUUGCAUAUUACGCAUGACAUUUCAGUGUCAUUCGCGCGAGUGGAAGCCCCGACGACAAUGUCAGAGCACAGGAUGCACCAGUUGCAUACAUUUUCAUAGCAAUUGGAUACGAAUACGAAUAAGAGUAGAUAUGGGUGUGUGGCCAAUGUUAAUGGGACAACCAUAGAUCAUAGAAAUUAGAAAAUUCAGUAGAAGAAUAUUUAAAACCAUUGCAAUUCGAAUCUACAGAAACAGAGAGAAAUUUGGAUACCUCCAAGAGAAUAGUAAUCCAUCUUCUCAAGAAGAAUCAGUCUUAGUGCAUCCCAAAGAUUCAUUCAGAAUUUUCAUAGAAAUUGAGACUUUAGAACGCUUCAGAGACAGAGACAAAUCUCAUGAUUACAAUCUUAAUCAACGACAUUUCUUAGUGAGAAUCGAUUUCUACAUUCACCAGAACUCUCAAAUUGCAUAAGCCUGAAUCCAACCUAACCUUUCAUGUCCGCUGUCUGAUUCUCUGGCGGAAGGAGGAGGAUGCGGAGAAUGAGCUGUGGCUCAGAGCUUUCUGCUCCAAUAGCGCGCAGCGCAGCGCAUCGCAUCGUAUCGCAUCGAAUCGUAUCGAGAAUUGACUAUUGCCAGAGAGAAAGACACGGAGCCAAUGAAGCGGCACUACAGCUGGAUUGAAACAGACCGACUACGAGCCGGCAGCCGUUCUCCGGGACCGCAAUCUGGGCCCAUUAAUCAUCCGAGGGCCUGCGACUAAGCAAAAGUUGUACAUUUAUAGCUAAUAUGACAUAAAUACAAAAGUUGGCAAAAGGCAAAGACAA